This 440-nucleotide ribosomal RNA is filed under the name uncultured bacterium. RNAcentral describes it as "partial 16S ribosomal RNA". It matches the Rfam family "Bacterial small subunit ribosomal RNA", at positions 338 to 795 of the family's 1533-position model. The record is from RNAcentral.
CCUACGGGAGGCAGCAGUGGGGGAUAUUGCACAAUGGGGGGAACCCUGAUGCAGCGACGCCGCGUGGGGGAAGAAGCGCCUAGGCGCGUAAAGCCCUGUCAGCAGGGAAGAAAAUGACGGUACCUGAAGCAGAAGCCCCGGCUAAAUACGUGAAAGCAGCCGCGGUAAUACGGAGGGGGCAAGCGUUAUCCGGAUUUCCUGGGGGUAAAGGGGGCGCAGACGGCGAUGCAGGCCAGGAGUGAAAGCCCGGGGCCCAACCCCGGGACUGCUGUUGGAACUGCGUGGCUGGAGUGCAGGAGGGGCACGCGGAAUUCCUGGUGUAGCGGUGAAAUGCGUAGAUAUCAGGAGGAACACCGGUGGCGAAGGCGGCCUGCUGGACUGCAACUGACGUUGAGGCCCGAAAGCGUGGGGAGCAAACAGGAUUAGAUACCCUAGUAGUC